Hydractinia symbiolongicarpus is the source of this 728-nucleotide long non-coding RNA. RefSeq lists it as uncharacterized. The record is from RefSeq and is a predicted model, not a curated record. NCBI's taxonomy places the organism in Eukaryota, Metazoa, Cnidaria, Hydrozoa, Anthoathecata, Hydractiniidae. The transcript is spliced from 5 exons.
AACACAUACACUUUUGAUGAAUAAAACAGAGCGAGGCGAGCGUCAGUUGAAUGGUAAACAAGGUGCACGAAAGAGCGAUGAAGACUGUGUUGAUAGGUUUUUUGCUAUCUUUUGUAGUUUUAGCUGCUGUUGCGGACUAUAAAGAGUCAAGAUUAGAGACAUGUGGUGGAUGACGUUUGAAUCGCCUUCCUAAGGUGAAGGCAUUUAUUAAUGAUCAUGCUCAUCUAUAUGAAAAUUUUGAAGUAAAAUAUAUUGGUGGAGCAGAUCCUGAAUUGGUUUUUAUAAAGAAUGAUCAAUCUGAAGAGAGAAUUGCUGUUGAUGAAAUGGAGACUGAACAAAUAUGCAAGACAUUAGAAGAUCGUGGAUUCUCUAAACGAGCGCAAAAAGAGAUUCCGUCCCCACCUACAGAAGAAUUAUAAUUUAACAAUUUACUAGUCUCCAAAUAAUUUAUUUUCUACUAUACAUUUCCUUUUCCUGUUUGAAAUCCUUCACCUCUUAAUCUUAUUUUAUUUGAUGAACUAACAAAGUGUCAUUAGACUUUUAGCAUAUUUAAUGCUAUUUUCAUAUUACUUGUUUUUCUAUGUUUUUGCUCAAAUUAAGUAUAAAAAAAUUUCUUCAGUUAUAUAUUUUGCUGUAAAAGUUUUAUGACGGUUUUAUGCAAACAUUUAUUAACAUAAAACUUGAUCUUGUGAUAACUUAAAUUUGUGAAUAUCUUGACAGAAAUUAAA